CCCAGCCUGCCAAAACUAACAAGCAAGGAAUCAUCGUGCUUGUUGCAGAGAAAGCAAAGUGGCUGCCCUGGUUCCUGGCCACAGUUGCACUACUCUCUUACCGUCCUACUCCUCUAGAAUCGCGAUUGUAUUUCCUGCCGGCUCCCGUUUGAUCUGAGGGCGAGCGAGCGUACAUGUCAGUGGAAUAAUGGGUUAGAUUGAUGCGCGUGGCUUCCUGUCCUCCUUGGUCUUCAACGGACGGGGAGGGAUUCUUCUUCUUCCACGGGAAACAGGAGGUGGCCAUAGGUGUUGAUCGAUCCAACGGAUUUAUGGGUUAGAUCGGCGUUCAUGCCUGUCUUUCCUGUUUACUGGUCUUCCACGACAAGAGGAAUUUUAUCAUGGACAAACGGAAACGGUUAAUCUCGCGGACGGUGACUACGAACUGGUGCCCGCGGACUCUCGAGUUGAUCAGGAGGUUAAUUUGAAUUGUGCUAACUUAUCUCAAGGCCUGGGCCAAGCACCAGAGGUUUUUCUGCCUGAUAGUGCCCAGGAAGGCAAGCCCCGGAGCAUAAUUCCACUAUUUUCCGAGUUAU
Molecule: long non-coding RNA, 572 nt
Organism: Panicum virgatum (switchgrass)
Lineage: Eukaryota; Viridiplantae; Streptophyta; Magnoliopsida; Poales; Poaceae
Exons: 3
Source: RefSeq, a predicted model, not a curated record